CCCUUAGAUGUUUUGGGCCGCACGCGCGCUACACUGAUGCAUUCAACGAGUUUCUUCCUGGUCCGAGAGGAAUGGGUAACCUUUUGAAAGUGCAUCGUGAUAGGGAUAGACUAUUGCAAUUAUUGGUCUUCAACGAGGAAUUCCUAGUAGACGUAGUUCAUCAGACUGCAUCGAUUACGUCCCUGCCCUUUGUACACACCGCCCGUCGCUCCUACCGAUUGAAUGCUCAGGUGAGCCAUUCGGACUUUCAUCAUGCUGGUUUCCAGUUUUGAUGAAGGAAAGUCUUGCGAACCUUAUCAUUUAGAGGAAGGAGAAGUCGUAACA
This 324-nucleotide ribosomal RNA is filed under the name uncultured eukaryote. RNAcentral describes it as "partial 18S ribosomal RNA". It matches the Rfam family "Eukaryotic small subunit ribosomal RNA", at positions 1470 to 1796 of the family's 1831-position model. The record is from RNAcentral.